Non-coding RNA from Schizosaccharomyces pombe (fission yeast), 210 nucleotides. The record is from the annotation of a GenBank genome assembly. NCBI's taxonomy places the organism in Eukaryota, Fungi, Ascomycota, Schizosaccharomycetes, Schizosaccharomycetales, Schizosaccharomycetaceae.
UUUAAUAGUAGUAAAGCAAAAAAUUCUAUAUAGCAGGUAGUGUGUUUGGUAAAGGGUAUAUUAUACUGUUAUCAAAUAGAAAAUUUAUGGCAUAUAAUAAUUGAGUCGGCGAUCUUAGAUAAAAAGGAAAAUACAGCUACGUUAUGCGGUAAAAAGUCAUGGCUGACUCCGGGAUGAAUAUGAAAUAUACUCAAAAAUAAGCGAUUCAUG